This 544-nucleotide ribosomal RNA is filed under the name uncultured eukaryote. RNAcentral describes it as "eukaryotic LSU rRNA". The stretch from base 157 to 309 matches the Rfam family "5.8S ribosomal RNA". The record is from RNAcentral.
UUCCGUAGGUGAACCUGCGGAAGGAUCAUUCGCACAAAGAUAUGUUCUAUUCCACCCGCCACGCACCAUACAGUGCUUUCUGUUUUAUCAUCAGGAAAUUUAAUUUCCAACUCGUCGAUGUUGCGAUCUCAUUGCAAUGUAUGCGAUGUUAUCUAUCUCUUGCGACGACGAAUGCCUUGGCUCGAGGAUCGUUGAAGGACGCAGCGAACUGUGCUAAACAUCUCGAAUUGCAGAUUUCCGAGAAAGAAAAGGAUUCUGAACGCAUUCUGCGAGUUGAACUUGUUUCAGCUCACGUGAUUGACGGUGACCGAAAUAUGCAGUCGCUCGAACUCCGAAGUUCAAGUGGUGUUCACAUGUUGUCGCAAAGUUUUGCGCCGACGUGUUCGUGGAAUUCAGCGCGUCUCUCGUUUUCGAGUUGCAUUAUGAAUUCAUUUCAUUAUGUUCGAUUUCAUUGACGUGUCUCAGUUCUUCAUUUUUUGAAAACAUUUUUUUCCGCACGCUCACGAUCAGUCACGGGAUUACCCGCUGAAUUUAAGCAUAUCAA